Molecule: ribosomal RNA, 200 nt
Filed under: uncultured bacterium
Lineage: Bacteria
Description: partial 16S ribosomal RNA
Rfam family: Bacterial small subunit ribosomal RNA
Source: RNAcentral
AGAGUUUGAUCCUGGCUCAGAUUGAACGCUGGCGGCGUGCUUAACACAUGCAAGUCGAGCGGAAAGGCCCUUCGGGGUACUCGAGCGGCGAACGGGUGAGUAACACGUGAGCAACCUGCCCCUAGCUCUGGGAUAGCUCCGGGAAACCGGGAUUAAUACCGGAUAAGACCACUUUAGACAUCUGCCGUGGUGGAAAGGAU